CCCUGCUCAGAUUGAACGCUGGCGGCAGGCCUAACACAUGCAAGUCGAGCGGUAGAAGAAGGUGCUUGCACCUCUUGAGAGCGGCGGACGGGUGAGUAAUGCCUAGGAAUCUGCCUGGUAGUGGGGGAUAACGCUCGGAAACGGACGCUAAUACCGCAUACGUCCUACGGGAGAAAGCAGGGGACCUUCGGGCCUUGCGCUAUCAGAUGAGCCUAGGUCGGAUUAGCUAGUUGGUGGGGUAAUGGCUCACCAAGGCGACGAUCCGUAACUGGUCUGAGAGGAUGAUCAGUCACACUGGAACUGAGACACGGUCCAGACUCCUACGGGAGGCAGCAGUGGGGAAUAUUGGACAAUGGGCGAAAGCCUGAUCCAGCCAUGCCGCGUGUGUGAAGAAGGUCUUCGGAUUGUAAAGCACUUUAAGUUGGGAGGAAGGGCAUUAACCUAAUACGUUAGUGUUUUGACGUUACCGACAGAAUAAGCACCGGCUAACUCUGUGCCAGCAGCCGCGGUAAUACAGAGGGUGCAAGCGUUAAUCGGAAUUACUGGGCGUAAAGCGCGCGUAGGUGGUUCGUUAAGUUGGAUGUGAAAGCCCCGGGCUCAACCUGGGAACUGCAUUCAAAACUGUCGAGCUAGAGUAUGGUAGAGGGUGGGUGGAAUUUCCUGUGUAGCGGUGAAAUGCGUAGAUAUAGGAAGGAACACCAGUGGCGAAGGCGACCACCUGGACUGAUACUGACACUGAGGUGCGAAAGCGUGGGGAGCAAACAGGAUUAGAUACCCUGGUAGUCCACGCCGUAAACGAUGUCAACUAGCCGUUGGGAGCCUUGAGCUCUUAGUGGCGCAGCUAACGCAUUAAGUUGACCGCCUGGGGAGUACGGCCGCAAGGUUAAAUAGAAAAUGUUUGUGUGGGGG
This 909-nucleotide ribosomal RNA is filed under the name Pseudomonas brassicacearum. RNAcentral describes it as "bacterial SSU rRNA". It matches the Rfam family "Bacterial small subunit ribosomal RNA", at positions 18 to 919 of the family's 1533-position model. The record is from RNAcentral. Lineage: Bacteria; Pseudomonadati; Pseudomonadota; Gammaproteobacteria; Pseudomonadales; Pseudomonadaceae.